CUCGAUGCUUAUUUAUGAGCAACCAUAAGAUGUAAGAACACAACACAAUAAAAAUAAAACCCACAAUCCCAGCAGACACUAUCAUUAUCGAGUUGUUCGUCAGGCCACAAAGAUUGUAACUUUCUCGCAUAAUAAUAAAAUUUCCACCAGAAAAACACAGAAAUAUACCACAUUUUACCAAACGGGUUCUCAUAUAGUUAACCCAAAACAUAUACAUACACGCAUAUAUACAAAUAGUUUAAACGAAUAUAUUAAUUCAGUUACUUGAAAAUUGCGCUGGAAGCUGUAGCGGAGUUCGGGAUCGAUUUCAGUGAGGGAUUCUUCUGCAACGUCGUCGUUUUUAUACUUCUUUCCAGGGACGUGCAUUUUGGGCGUUGUACCUGGCUGGUUCGUCACUUUCAAUGUCUUUGAACUUCUCUUCCUUUUCCUCCACCCUCCAUGGACGCCAGCAGCUCUUUUUUACCCUUCGCCAUUAUUAUCUGAAUUGAACUGAUAGGUUUUGGCUCUGUCCCUUCUCAAGGGAAUUGGAGGAAGUGGACUGAAUGGAGAGUACGAUGUCGUUUGGCUUGUAG
Molecule: long non-coding RNA, 572 nt
Filed under: Olea europaea subsp. europaea
Lineage: Eukaryota; Viridiplantae; Streptophyta; Magnoliopsida; Lamiales; Oleaceae
Source: RNAcentral